UACGUAGGGUGCGAGCGUUGUCCGGAAUUAUUGGGCGUAAAGAGCUUGUAGGCGGUCUGUCGCGUCUGCUGUGAAAAUCCGGGGCUCAACCCCGGACUUGCAGUGGGUACGGGCAGACUAGAGUGUGGUAGGGGAGACUGGAAUUCCUGGUGUAGCGGUGAAAUGCGCAGAUAUCAGGAAGAACACCGGUGGCGAAGGCGGGUCUCUGGGCCGUAACUGACGCUGAGGAGCGAAAGCAUGGGGAGCGAACAGG
Molecule: ribosomal RNA, 253 nt
Filed under: uncultured bacterium
Lineage: Bacteria
Description: partial 16S ribosomal RNA
Rfam family: Bacterial small subunit ribosomal RNA
Source: RNAcentral